CCUACGGGAGGCAGCAGUGAGGAAUAUUGGUCAAUGGGCGCUAGCCUGAACCAGCCAAGUAGCGUGAAGGAUGACUGCCCUAUGGGUUGUAAACUUCUUUUAUAUGGGAAUAAAGUGUGGGACGUGUCCUAUUUUGUAUGUACCUUAUGAAUAAGGAUCGGCUAACUCCGUGCCAGCAGCCGCGGUAAUACGGAGGAUCCGAGCGUUAUCCGGAUUUAUUGGGUUUAACGGGUGCGUAGGCGGAUUGUUAAGUCAGUUGUGAAAGUUUGCGGCUCAACCGUAGAAUUGCCGUUGAAACUGGCAGGCUUGAGUAUAGUAGAGGUAGGCGGAAUGCGUGGUGUAGCGGUGAAAUGCUUAGAUAUCACGAAGAACUCCGAUUGCGAAGGCAGCCUGCUGGACUAUGACUGACGCUGAUGCACGAAAGUGUGGGUAUCAAACAGGAUUAGAUACCCGGGUAGUC
Molecule: ribosomal RNA, 460 nt
Filed under: uncultured bacterium
Lineage: Bacteria
Description: partial 16S ribosomal RNA
Rfam family: Bacterial small subunit ribosomal RNA
Source: RNAcentral